CAACUGAAUGCUGGCAACUAAAGACGUGGGUUGCGCUCGUUGCGGGACUUAACCCAACAUCUCACGACACGAGC
This 74-nucleotide transfer RNA is filed under the name Cyanobium sp. 10-NR. Its description in RNAcentral is "transfer RNA-Ile". Lineage: Bacteria; Bacillati; Cyanobacteriota; Cyanophyceae; Synechococcales; Prochlorococcaceae. The record is from RNAcentral.